This 456-nucleotide ribosomal RNA is filed under the name uncultured microorganism. RNAcentral's name for it is "bacterial SSU rRNA". It matches the Rfam family "Bacterial small subunit ribosomal RNA", at positions 9 to 441 of the family's 1533-position model. The record is from RNAcentral.
GAGUUUGAUCGUGGCUCAGGAUGAACGCUGGCGGCGUGCUUAACACAUGCAAGUCGAACGAAGCGCCUUAUUUGAUUUUCUUCGGAACUGAAGAUUUGGUGGCUGAGUGGCGGACGGGUGAGUAACGCGUGGGUAACCUGCCCUGUACAGGGGGAUAACAAUACAGAAAUAGACUGCUAAUACCGCAUAAGACCACAGCACCGCAUGGUGCAGGGGUAAAAACUCCGGUGGUACAGGAUGGACCCGCGUCUGAUUAGCUGGUUGGUGAGGUAACGGCUCACCAAGGCGACGACCAGUAGCCGGCUUGAGAGAGUGAACGGCCACAUUGGGACUGAGACACGGCCCAAACUCCUACGGGAGGCAGCAGUGGGGAAUAUUGCACAAUGGGGGAAACCCGUCGAUGCAGCAACGCCGCGUGAGUGAAGAAGUAUUUCGGUAUGUAAGACUCUAUCAGCA